This 253-nucleotide ribosomal RNA is filed under the name uncultured bacterium. RNAcentral's name for it is "partial 16S ribosomal RNA". It matches the Rfam family "Bacterial small subunit ribosomal RNA", at positions 524 to 776 of the family's 1533-position model. The record is from RNAcentral.
UACAGAGGGGGCGAGCGUUGUUCGGAAUUACUGGGCGUAAAGGGCGCGUAGGCGGCCCGCUAAGUCGAACGUGAAAUCCCCAGGCUCAACCUGGGAACUGCGUCCGAUACUGGCAGGCUUGAAUCCGGGAGAGGGAUGUGGAAUUCUAGGUGUAGCGGUGAAAUGCGUAGAUAUCUGGAGGAACACCGGUGGCGAAGGCGGCAUCCUGGACCGGUAUUGACGCUGAGGCGCGAAAGCUAGGGGAGCAAACGGG